GAAGCAACGCGAAGAACCUUACCAGGUCUUGACAUCCUCUGACAACCCUAGAGAUAGGGCGUUCCCCUUCGGGGGACAGAGUGACAGGUGGUGCAUGGUUGUCGUCAGCUCGUGUCGUGAGAUGUUGGGUUAAGUCCCGCAACGAGCGCAACCCUUGAUCUUAGUUGCCAGCAUUCAGUUGGGCACUCUAAGGUGACUGCCGGUGACAAACCGGAGGAAGGUGGGGAUGACGUCAAAUCAUCAUGCCCCUUAUGACCUGGGCUACACACGUGCUACAAUGGAUGGUACAAAGGGCUGCAAAACCGCGAGGUUAAGCGAAUCCCAUAAAACCAUUCUCAGUUCGGAUUGCAGGCUGCAACUCGCCUGCAUGAAGCUGGAAUCGCUAGUAAUCGCGGAUCAGCAUGCCGCGGUGAAUACGUUCCCGGGCCUUGUACACACCACCCGUCACACCACGAGAGUUUGUAACACCCGAAGUCGGUGGGGUAACCGUAAGGAGCCAGCCGCCUAAGGUGGG
This 514-nucleotide ribosomal RNA is filed under the name uncultured bacterium. RNAcentral's name for it is "bacterial SSU rRNA". It matches the Rfam family "Bacterial small subunit ribosomal RNA", at positions 953 to 1466 of the family's 1533-position model. The record is from RNAcentral.